Long non-coding RNA from Ictalurus punctatus (channel catfish), 4994 nucleotides. The record is from Ensembl. NCBI's taxonomy places the organism in Eukaryota, Metazoa, Chordata, Actinopteri, Siluriformes, Ictaluridae.
CUGCUCAACCGGGUUAAGGUCUGGUGAGUGAUUGGCACGGCCAGUCUAAAACCUUCCACUUUUCCCCCCACUGAUGAAGUCCUAUUGAGUCGGCAGUGUGUUUUGGAUCACUAGUGUCUUGCUCAUAAUGAAGUUCCUCCCGAUUAAUUUGGAUGCAGUUCUCUGUAAAUUGGCAGACAAAAUGUUCCUGUGAGCAUUAUUAUUGUUUAAACAGUCAAUCUAACAGGACACACCUGGGUAACAAGAAACACCUGUCAGUCACAUGUUCCAAUAUUUUUGCUUACCUACAGAUUGGGUGGUCUGAUACAAAAUGUUCUAUACCGUUUAACACAUCUCUGUAUGAACACCAGGAAGUAAAAGCUGAAAAUCGGAACUCUCUUCUCGUAUUCGUCUUUUGAUUUCAAACCCAGAUCAGUCUUCAUUUUACAGCAAAAACAAAUGAAUUAGCCUCGUCGUGCCAAUAAUUCCAGAGGGCUCUGUAAUUCUGACUUUGGGGCACAUGACUUCUUAAUGCACUCUGAAAUGCCUAGAUUUAUAGAUUAUUGAUUGCUUGAAUUAAAGCUGACAAUCUGCACUUCACCUAAUCAGUGUUUUAUUUCCAAAGAGAUUAACUACAGCACCAAAGCACCAAAUAUCAACUUUCACACCGUUUUCUGUUCUACUUUGUUAUUACGAUUUGACAAAAUAUAUGCCCAUAUUGCCCAGUCCAUACGGAUUGUUAGCAUGAAUUUAGAAAUAUGCAGUGUCUCGAUAAACAUAAAGUUGACCUCUUGUGUUCGAGCUUGGAUUUAUUGCACACUGCAGUAAUACCAUGAGAGAAAUUCCACUGAUGGGGAUUUUUUUUCCCAGUAGGAUUGUGCUUUCAUCCUCUUUAGUUACCAAGUACUGGAGAGUUUAAUUACCUAAGAAUGUUAUUUUCUCACAUGUUUCAGCUCAGGAGCAAUGUUUCUGUUAGCUGACUGUGUAUCUAUGUUCUCAGUGUAAGGCUUCAUAUUGUUAACUGAGUUAUUAAGAAGCAUUCGUUUGAAAGCACCCAAAAGUCUUGUGCUAUCAUAUAUAGUUGUACUAUAUAUCUAUGUAAGUAAAUGUGUGUGUGUGUGUGUUAUGUUCAAGGUUUUCACAGCUGCAUCAUAGACUCGAACAUCUCGAUCCUCUUCCUCGUUUGGCCUCUCUGAAUUCUCCGAUAUGACACCGUUCCGUACUUUGCAUGCAUCAGGUGAUCGAACGGCUUGUCGUGGGAUUCGCAUGCAAUGUCUAGCCAGUGUUCCUGCUCCACUUCCUCCAGACUCACGCUGCCGGCUCCUGGGAGUCCCGUCACUCCGGCCUCAUCAGGCAAAAAGCUACUGCUCUCAUCUGUCAUGGAAACGCUGUCGUGCUCAGAGCUUGCUUGAAUUAGCCCAAUAUUGUGACAUGAAGACUGAGCUUCUGAAUUGUGAAUCUGAAGAGCAGAAUGAAGUUUUUCCGGCCAGAUCGGUUCUCCUGAACGUGGAGCCCAAAUGGAGUCGAGGAUUUGCUGUGGAACAUCCUCUUCUUUGCUGUAAAAUACGGAAUCGUCCCCUUCAGUCGUAAGCAGAGGCGGCUGAUGCACCGUGUCCUCCUGAGCUCCUCCACUGAUGACCACGUCUUUCUCUGGAGCGGUGUUGCUCGGAAUAUCAAGCGCACUCGUAAUAUCGGCCAUUUCAGACACGCUUUUGGUUUCCAUAUUUUUCCUUUCUCUCUCUUUAGCACAUCAGAAGUCUGGUCAAAAUGCUGUCCGUCAUGUCUGUUUCCCUCCGUCACACUUACAUCCUUCACACUUGCAUUCUAAUGACCAGUCUGUGACAGGCAGGGCUUUUGUACUCAUGUGUGAUGUAUUUCUUUAACCACUAGAGAACAGGGGAUUUGUAUCGACCCAAAUGAAUGGCCUUUUGUCUGCUGUUCCAUUACAAACAAACCGUUUGUCCUCGUGUUUUAAUCCUGCCCGAGGUAUUUUAAGGCCUGAUUAACAUUCUCAGUCAUGGAGGAUUUGUGCCUGAUUUUUUUUCUGUACCCCUGCUACGGCUAGCAAUUUUAUUACAUUUAAUUAUACACAGGACUGGAGCAUGAGGUAAAACAGUAACACACUGGGGCUGUAAGUAGCCAUAAUUAUACACAAUGGAACCGACCGCUUUUUUUAGGAUUAAUUAUUCAGGUUAAUUACAAACGAUGCACUGAUCUAGCACCAUGCGUUAAUAUCACGGCUGACACUGGGCUUAAACAUUGACUCGGCAUUGGACCGAAUCUCAUCCACUGAUCGUAUUUUAUUCUGUGAAUCAGUGGGGAAAAUACUCCUCAUCGGAGUAGGUACUCCUCGUCGGGACGUUAGUAUGUGUCGUCAUUUUAUUAAACCAUUAAGUCAUUUUGAAGCCCUGCUGUAAAUGAGUUUCUCUGAUGAUCCCAUUUGUAAAUCACACGACCCCAACCCGGGGUCAUGACCCCUAGAUUGGCGACCACUACUGUGGGCUUGCAUAAGUAUUCACCUCCUCAAACUUUUGCAGAUUGGAACUGAAUAUUACAACCUGGAACUGAAAUUGACUUAUUUCUGGUUAUGCCAAUGAAUCUUCACAAGAUAACACAUAAUAUUGGAUAUUAAAAUGUGUGUGUACAUUCCAUAUAAACUCCACAUGGAAGCAUGGUGGUGGUUGCACUAUAGUAACAGCUUCUCUGACUAAUGCAAUCCUUAAUUAGUCCCUGACUUUUGGUAGAUGAUGACUGUGACAUAUUUUUUUUUUUUUUUUUUUUUUCCAUUUUUAAAUAAUCAAACUGAUUGAUAUUUUUCCAGAACUUUAUCCCAGAUUUUUUUUUUUUUUUUUUUUAAAUUAUUCCGAAUGAUAGCUGCUUGGUGUUUAUGAUGCUGUUUGUUUAGGUGUGCAUUCUAAGAAAAUCUUGGGCCUUCCAGGAACAGGUGUAUUUAUGGUCUCUUUGAUUUUGUGGCUACACCUGCAUCAAAGAGUGAAACAUAGAAUAUGCUGUUCCAUUGGCCCACUGUAUGUGGGCUGCUGCAAAUGCAUGUGAUGUCGACUGGCACGACAGAUCUUUGACACUCAAAGCUCUGAUAAUGUUAAUGUUAUCAAACAUGGAAAUACAGGAUUGGGCCUUCUCUAUUAUUUAUUCUGCUUGUAAUGUGAAAAACUAGUAAAUAUUUCAGAUUGUAUUUUUAUGUCAUUGCAAUUUAAAUGAAUUACAAUUAAUUCAGGCACUAAGAGAAUGGAAACUUAUCCCAAUUAACCCUAAGCCCGUGCUACAGAAUUAGCUGAAAACAAUGAUGUUUUGGUUCGUUUGUGUGUUGUAGAUUUUGCGCCAACGUGUAUGCAAAGAAUUUGGUAUUUGCUUAAUGAAGAAAGAAACGUACAAUAAAACAUUUUGCGUCAUAUUAUAUUUCAGUUUUCUUCUUUUUGAGAUAUUAAGCCUUUGUGAGUAAAAAAAUAUAUAUAUAUAGCGCAUUUGUUUGUUUUUUUUUGUUUUGUUUUGUUGUUUUUUUUGGCAGAACUCGGUGGACGAGGAGCAUUUACAUCUUUGACCCGUUAAACCAUAUCUGUGUUUCACUAUCUGAAGCAUGAAAUAGUUUGGUAUGUUAUGACGGGUAAUAUACACAUAGACUGUGAGGAGAUAGAAGUAUGUAGUUCCUGCUGCUUUCAGAUCGUCCUGCAACUCCUCUCAUGUUACUGCUGGCUUCUUCAUUAGUCUGAAAGCGUGUGGUGAAAUCUUACGUGGCUCCAUUUGUCCUGCGACAAAUAGUUGUGGUUCCAUGAACUUUCCACCUGCAUAUUACCAAACCAGUUGUACUGUUGACAGGGACGUUUAAGGUCUUUGUUAUGGCUCUGUAGUAUUUUCCACUCGGGUGUUGCUUAAUAAUGUUGUCCCUGAAAACUUUAGGAAGCUCUUUCACCUUCACUACUUGUUGCAUGAAAUCUUUCCGACCAAUGGCAAUGUUCUUUUGUUUUCUUUUCAUAAUGACACCUAUAAUUUGCAUGAGAACAUAUAUGAGCGCAUUAUUUGCAUUUAGAACUUGGUUUACAUCAGACACUUUUUAAAGUGUUUUUUUUUUAUUAUUCAAUUAUGGUUAUGAAUGCAUACUUUUUUCUUUUUUUCUUCAGAUUUAUUAGUACAACGUCAAAAGAAAUGAUGAGUGUAUAUUUAAAGGUGAUAUAUGCAUUGGGAGUAUAUUUACCCUCACUCUAGCUGCUAUUACUACAGCCUAAGAUCCAAAGCCUGUCCUGUUGCAUUGGGCUUUAGAGCCACUCAGUCGCAGAAAAAUCUGCACAUCGGCUUAGGUAGAGAUGAGUCGACUGAAACUGCCGAUGGACUGUCAGACAACCUCAUGGUGAAUGAUAGUCCCUCGUUACAGCCAUUGUGGCUUUUAUUACCUAUUGAUGGUAAUAUUGUAUGUGCUGUCUGAAACACGGCCCUUUCUCAAAUAUUCACUGCUCUUUUGCAUGAGGGUGCUGACACAGAAGCUGCAGGCUUCAACCAGAGAAAACCACAGCGAUCAUGCUAUUGCUGCACGUGUGUGUGGGUGUGUGUGUGUGGGGGGGGGGUUAUCCGGGACAGCUCACUGUGGGAAAGACGGGUUGAGAAGCGCCGUCUUAAUUUUGCAUACGGUGUUACUUGAAAUGCGACUUUUAGAAUAAAACGUGCAAGAGAUCAACGGAACUUGAGACAUUAAUGCGAUCCUAGCUGACAAAAAUAACUUCGUAUUUUACCACGGAAUCAUUGUAAGAUGAUUUGCAACAAAAUAUUGCUUAAAAGUAUAAAUGUAUCAAUUUUUAGGCUCAAAAACUUUUAUAUAAGUUAUACAUGUUAUAUAUAUAUAUAAGGUAUGUAUAAUGUAUAUCUAACAACUAGCUUCUGAAAAUCAACCAGUAUAUCUUGCUCUUUAAAUAAUAACUCAUUUUUUCUCACUGAUUAUUGAUCAAAUUUUACUUAAAGUCUCAAGUUGCAUUUCACACUGCCAUCUAGUGUUUAUACUAUUGCUG